AACAAUCAUAUAAUAAUUAUGUUGUAGUAAUUAACGUUACUGUAAUGGUUAUUCAUUUAAACCGACUUGUUAAAAAAAUACUUACUUUGCAAUUGGUGUCCAAAUUAAUCCGCGACGAAAUCUUUUAUUACAAUACAAAUCAUGGAUGGUAUAAGGGCUCUGAUUGGCCAUAGCGUUCAUUGUAACUCGGAACACGAUUGGCUGCCUUAACCAAGAAUAGGGUGAAUCUUGGUUCCAGCUUGGAACGUGAUUGGCCUGGUAAAACCAAGAGUAAAACAAAUCUUGGUUCCAGCUCACAAAGUGAUUGGCCGGUUUAACCAAGAAUAACCACGACUUACAGGUGGCAGUAUGAGCUAACCGGCCACUUACUGCCAAGCUUAAUAAAAGUCUUCUAGUUGGUGCAGCCCGGGCUAAAGAAAAAAAAAUGUAAAAGAAAAUAAUAAUAAAACGGCCUUGCCAGAAAGUAGCAGAAUGUCAAUACAAGGCGGUGGCAAUGUGCAUUGAUUUCUGAGUAACUCGUCAUUCGGCGUGCAGGGCUCCUCACACGUUUACUGGAGCAGGACCAGGUAGGGCCUUCAGUAGGGCAGCGCACUAUUCCAGGCAUUUUGACGACUUAACGGCAGGCAGGGCAAAGAGGCCACCACAGAGCAAAUGUGAUC
This is a non-coding RNA of Danio rerio (zebrafish), 659 nucleotides long. The record is from Ensembl. Lineage: Eukaryota; Metazoa; Chordata; Actinopteri; Cypriniformes; Danionidae.